This is a non-coding RNA of Peromyscus maniculatus bairdii (prairie deer mouse), 475 nucleotides long. The record is from RefSeq and is a predicted model, not a curated record. Lineage: Eukaryota; Metazoa; Chordata; Mammalia; Rodentia; Cricetidae.
GGCGCUGUGGGCUGGGGCACUGAUUGCCUAAAUUUUUUUGCAGACUUGUUUCCAGAGAGCUCGGGCUGGAAGGAAGCGACUUCCUGAAGAAAGACGACUUAGAGGAGGAAAUUCAUCAGCGUCCGAUUACACGAUUCCUCUUUACAGAAAUCUCCACAAGCCCCAAAUGGCACAGGCACCUGGACUCCAAAUGGCAGCGGGGAGUUAGUCCCUCAGCACAGAUGGCUGGCUCUUUGGUUCCUUUUCCUCGUGGGCUGUGGGCUUCCCCUGGAUCCACUCCUCAGGCAGCUGUCCUCAGCCAGGCUGUGCACAGCCUGUGUUCUUCAUCCAGACAUGCUAGGCAGGAACAACCAGCCUCACACUUCACUGUCAGCAGCAGAUUUGGUGAGACAACUUGGGUUUUUUGUUUUGUGUUCUUUCAAGAUAGGGAUUCUCUGUGUAUCUUUGGAGCCUGUCCUGGAACUCACUCUGUAGA